AAGUCGUAACAAGGUUUCCGUAGGUGAACCUGCGGAAGGAUCAUUAAUGAAUUCUCGAGUGCGAGUUGUGCUGGUUCUUACAAGUGCACACUCGUUACUCUUCUAUUCUCCAAUACACCCCACCGUGCACUUCAGACGCGUUCCUUCGGGUUCGGCGUAUCUUUUACAUCAUAUCUUUAUAAUAUAUUGGAAUGAGAAUAUAAUAAUGUUAAUUACAACUAUCAACAACGGAUCUCUUGGCAUUC
RNAcentral lists this unclassified non-coding RNA (245 nucleotides) under air metagenome. RNAcentral describes it as "partial contains small subunit ribosomal RNA, internal transcribed spacer 1, and 5.8S ribosomal RNA". The stretch from base 1 to 46 matches the Rfam family "Eukaryotic small subunit ribosomal RNA", at positions 1786 to 1831 of the family's 1831-position model. The record is from RNAcentral.